RNAcentral lists this ribosomal RNA (492 nucleotides) under uncultured bacterium. RNAcentral describes it as "partial 16S ribosomal RNA". It matches the Rfam family "Bacterial small subunit ribosomal RNA", at positions 29 to 507 of the family's 1533-position model. The record is from RNAcentral.
AGUGAACGCUGGCGGUAGGCCUAACACAUGCAAGUCGAACGGCAGCACAGUAAGAGCUUGCUCUUACGGGUGGCGAGUGGCGGACGGGUGAGGAAUACAUCGGAAUCUACUUUUUCGUGGGGGAUAACGUAGGGAAACUUACGCUAAUACCGCAUACGACCUACGGGUGAAAGCAGGGGAUCGUCGGACCUUGCGCGAUUGAAUGAGCCGAUGUCGGAUUAGAUAGUUGGCGGGGUAAAGGCCCACCAAGGCGACGAUCCGUAGCUGGUAUGAGAGGAUGAUCAGCCACACUGGAACUGAGACACGGUCCAGACUCCUACGGGAGGCAGCAGUGGGGAAUAUUGGACAAUGGGCGCAAGCCUGAUCCAGCCAUACCGCGUGGGUGAAGAAGGCCUUCGGGUUGUAAAGCCCUUUUGUUGGGAAAGAAAAGCAGCAGGUUAAUACCCCGCUGUUCUGACGGUACCCAAAGAAUAAGCACCGGCUAACUUCGUG